UAAUACGGAGGGUGCAAGCGUUGUCCGGAUUUAUUGGGUUUAAAGGGUGCGUAGGCGGCCCGUUAAGUCAGUGGUGAAAGCCUCCAGCUCAACUGGAGAACUGCCAUUGAUACUGACGGGCUUGAGUACAGACGAGGUUGGCGGAAUUGAUAGUGUAGCGGUGAAAUGCAUAGAUACUAUCAAGAACUCCGAUUGCGUAGGCAGCUAACUAGGCUGUAACUGACGCUGAGGCACGAAAGCGUGGGGAGCGAACAGGAUUAGAUACCCUGGUAGUCCACGCCGUAAACGAUGAUUACUCGAUGUCGGCGAUAAACUGUCGGCGUCUUAGCGAAAGCGUUAAGUAAUCCACCUGGGGAGUACGCCCGCAAGGGU
Molecule: ribosomal RNA, 372 nt
Filed under: uncultured bacterium
Lineage: Bacteria
Description: bacterial SSU rRNA
Rfam family: Bacterial small subunit ribosomal RNA
Source: RNAcentral